AUGUUAUUAAUAAAAGAUAUUUGCGAUUUACAAUAAAUUUAUAAUAUUCAAUCUCGUGAUAACUGUUUAAAUUUCAAUAAUAUGAAGUGGAGAAUUUUUUCUACUUCAAAUUCUCAUAAUCCAUCAAUCAAUCACAGUAUAGGUUCUUCUUCUUCGAAAGUAAAGCAACAGAUUCGCGGCGAAUGAUGCUGCUCUGGUGCACCAGCAACAAUUGCAAAUAUACUAACUACGAAUUUCAAAUUUCUCAAUGAAGAAAUUAUGAAGAAUUCAACUCUGCCUAUCCAGCCGGAAGGGGAAUCAAUUGUUAAUAAAAUUAUCGACGAAAUGUCAACAGUAAGUAUUAUUGAUAAAUAUUUGAAAUUUUGUCAAAUAAUAUUAGCUGCUGACAUAUUCAUAAUCCAACAAGUUUCUGUUGAUAAAGUUACGACAAAAUUAGCAACAAAAACAAAAUCUGUUGAUUAUAACUCGAAAAUACCAACUAAAUUUUCGAUUGACUUUUUGUCACUAAUUACAGAAUUACCGAUAGAAAAAUAGCCGUUGCUGUUACAAUUGGUUUGCCAACUAGUUGUGUGAGAAAAGCAUAAAGUCUAUCAAUGGAUUAUCCACCAUCAAUGCUCUCAAUAAUUCAUGAUCCAAGCCGGACAUCAUUUCGUUGAUGCCUACAGUAAUCUUUAGCUGAUAGUCCAUUGAACAAUUACAAAUUUCAUCACUAAACCCGUCACAAAAGCAAAUUAUUUGGUAGCCGCUAGCAGAACGAAAACGGAAGAAUUUGGUUACCUCUAUCUGUUUUGUUGCUAUUAGUUAUCCUGAUAUAGAAACUUUCAAUUAAAACCAGAUAAGAUCUACACCUAUAUUUCAACUCUGAUCAGUUUUGACUAAUUUUAGCCAGUUUUGGCCGUAUCCUUGCAGAAAAAUACGUUAUGGGCUUCAGUUGGUUGAAAAAUUACAAAAAAGCAAACCCACCGGUGGGGGAACCUUCAAGUGCAGCGGUUCUGCCGGUCCUCUUUCGCGACUGAGAUUCUUUCUUCAGUUAAUUUUCGCAGAAAAGGACAGUAAAUACAAUGAUAAAAAAAUCACGUAAAACAGGAAUUGAGAAUGGACACAUCGGAGGAGUUUUAGCUACAGCGGCUCUGCUGCACUUUGCUCGCGAUUUUCAACUCACCCGCCGUCUCUUUUGCUUUGAUUUGACCAUAGAGGUACUCGGAAUCGAAUUCUGAGCAGGUAGAAGAAAUUUUUACAUUUUUUAUCGGUCGACGGUGGCUCUGGUGCAGCGAUAGUCGAUUUCUUUCUCUGAUGUCUGAUUUUUCUUCUCUGGCGGGGGUUGGCGGUUAGAGUUUCGAUUUCUGUGUUAUGCGAGAUAUUUAUAUUCAUCCUGCAUUAAUUUGAACCGUCAAUCGCGAUCAAUUUCGUUUGUCCGAUCACGUCUAAGGAGAAAAUGAAUAUGCACUGUCCAUCGCAAUUUGAUCUCGACCGUCUGAUCGCAUUUAAGGGAGAAAUAAAUUCAGGCUGUUCACGUGUGCGGAAUUGACCUUGGGCCAUCCAAUCGCGGGGUGUGCGAAUCGCUUGCGUGACAUCCCAUGUGGCACCUACAUCAGCGUGUCUUACCAUGUAAUGUGCUCUGGUUUGUCGGGACUGCUGACUGAGUGGUCUUACGUGAUAUAAUUUUUUUUAUUUGCACUUUAACCAUUUGUUUUUAAUUUUUCUUUCAAAAAUAACAUCCAAACCUAAAUUUUUAUUCAUUUCUCCU
RNAcentral lists this long non-coding RNA (1747 nucleotides) under Carica papaya (papaya). RNAcentral describes it as "long non-coding RNA (CPAP_LNC008718)". The record is from RNAcentral. Lineage: Eukaryota; Viridiplantae; Streptophyta; Magnoliopsida; Brassicales; Caricaceae.